UACGUAGGUGGCUAGCGUUAUCCGGAUUUAUUGGGCGUAAAGCGAGCGCAGGCGGCUCGGUAAGUCAGAUGUGAAAUCUCCCGGCUUAACUGGGAGGGGUCAUCUGAUACUGCCAGGCUUGAGGACAGUAGAGGGAGACGGAAUUCCCGGUGUAGUGGUGAAAUACGUAGAUAUCGGGAGGAACACCAGUGGCGAAAGCGGUCUCCUAGGCUGUUUCUGACGCUUAGGCUCGAAAGCGUGGGGAGCAAACAGG
Molecule: ribosomal RNA, 253 nt
Filed under: uncultured Dehalogenimonas sp.
Lineage: Bacteria; Bacillati; Chloroflexota; Dehalococcoidia; Dehalococcoidales; Dehalococcoidaceae
Description: partial 16S ribosomal RNA
Rfam family: Bacterial small subunit ribosomal RNA
Source: RNAcentral